This is a long non-coding RNA of Salvia hispanica, 461 nucleotides long. RefSeq lists it as uncharacterized. The record is from RefSeq and is a predicted model, not a curated record. NCBI's taxonomy places the organism in Eukaryota, Viridiplantae, Streptophyta, Magnoliopsida, Lamiales, Lamiaceae.
AAGUACUCCCAAAUUAAUGAUUUCUGUUUGGUUUCAUAGUGGUACAAGGUGGAGUUGCAGAGGCCGCUGGAAAAGGGUGGAAGGCAGACAUUGGCUUACCCUUUUGGGUAAGUCUUGGUCCUCUAGCAAAAAAAAAGGGAGAAUCUGCAAGUCCUCGGCUGUCAAGCUGCUGUCCGAGAAGGCUCGCUGCCUCGGGCCUUCGUGUUCGCUGCCUGGCUCGACGGCUGUGCGGAUAGGGGCGUGGUUUCUCGAAGGUUGGGCUGGUGGAACGAGGCCCAGUAGCAUUCCUUCGUAAUAAUAUAGUAUCCCGUAUUUUCUUCAACAAUUUCAUAUAUGUGAUGAUCAUAUAGGUUAAUGUCCUAUGUUUUCGAACACCCUUAGUCCGGGUCUUGGGAUAUACAUCUUCAUAUCCUUGUACACUUUCAUUUAUUUCUAUUAUAUAUAUACAUUGUUUUGUUUUC